AGGGAGGCGAGUGAGAUGGUAGGUCUGAUGCUCAUGACUUUGAGUCCAUAGAUUUGUGAGGGUGCUUUCCGAGGCUGCCCAAUACCUGUGAACACGGACCACUCCUGUAUGUGGUCCUCCCAGAUGUUGAACUCUCCUAAGGAAGGCAGGGGCCAUGCCUUCCUGGUUGUUGCGACCACAGCAGCAUGUACCACAGUGAUUUUGCUAAAGAAUCCUAAUUGGAUACUAGCUGAAAAAACCUGGGCGGCUGGAGUAGGUCCAUAAAUACUGUCUCUGUGGCAUAAACUAGUGCUUCUCAAACUUUGUUAUGCUUACCAAUGACCUAGAGAUCUGGUGAAAAUGUGGAUCCUGGUUCAGUAAAUCUGGGACGGAGCCUAAGAGUCUGCAUAUCUCCCAAGAUUUCCCACACUGCAUAAAGGUAUUAACUGAGGAUUCCAAUUGGGUGUGUUAAUCCACUGAAGCUCAGCUGUCUGAAGACAGUGGAAAUUCUGCCCCCGCCCCCCACCCGCCCCGAUCCCGGAAACCACUGGUGUGGGAGGUGAUCAUUUCAAUCUGGUUGUUCCUAUUGCUCAACCCACAGGCAGGAAUCGUGCCUGGGCCUUGAGAGAAAAAGAGGCCUCCCUGGGCCGAGCUCCUUGUGAACAUAUGACUUCUCACCGCACCUGGUUUUGUUUUUCCGUCUUAUAGCAUCUGACAGGCCGUUAAUAGCGCAUGAAAGAACUGUGUCCAAACUGUACUUUGAAGGAAUCAGAAAGUACUGCUUUUGAAUGAUUUCCUUCCCAUCGCAAGUCCCAAAUCCACUCCAGCAAGAGGCCUGGAUGCCGUGUGGCUUCCUUGAACGUUCAGCUGGUGUCUACGCCAACACAAGGAACAACCAAAUUAACCCAACCCUAGCCGCUUCAGGGCACUCACUGGAGGUGACAAUUUCACUUCAAAAGAGGCAAAGACUUCCAGGAUUAAUUAACACCAGUGAUCACGUGAUAAGAUUGAGCCAGCAGAGAGCAUUAAUGUAUCACAUGGGAUGAACAGACCAGCCCUUGAAGAGGGAAAAAAAAACAAGCAUAUCCUUAAGCAGGAGACUUGAAGAGCCAAGAGUCAGGGAAUCUUUGAAAGAUUUCUAACAUCUGAAGAGAGUAGCUGGUGGCAAAAGCUGGAAUGAGAACACUGUGGGCUGGAGUAAUAAGAGGCUAAAAGUGAAAUUCUGAGCAUGGCAAUGGUAAAGUCUACGAAUGAGCUGGAGAAAAGGUGAGAGCCCCGGUUGAGUGGGGACAAAAGUCCAGGCAGUGCCUACUUGCCAGCAGGAUGUCAACAUGAAAAGCCAAAUUCCCCCAUAAGUGGAAGCCAUGGAGUAUUUCCAAUCAUUUCUGCAUUUUGUGUUGGGGUGGCUAAAACAUCUGAGAGAUUGAAUUGUUUACUCUUCAGUGGACUUAAUUCAGUGGAAACAUAGUCUUUAAUAAAUGACUAUUAGUCCACUUUCUACUGUGGAGAUUUAAACAUAUAUACAAAAGUGGAAAGAAUAUUAUGAUGUCCGAGGUGCCCAUGACUCAUUACCCAGGACUAACAAUGAUCAAUAGUUUGUCAUGCUUGAUGCCUACUCAUUUUAGAAAGAUGAGUUCAGGGGAAUUUUAAUUAGUGUGUGUCCUGAAGAAGAGCUUGCGUCCACCUCUCCAUCUCAUUUGCACUUUUAAAUCAAAACAACCCCCAAAGAGCCAGCAGAGAGCUAUGUGGGGACUAUUUUUCUUUUUCUUUUUCUUUUUCUUUUUUUUUUUUUUUUUUUUUGUCUCCUUGCUAUCUCUUGGGCCGCUCCCGUGGCACAUGGAGGGUCCCAGGCUAGGGGUCGAAUCGGAGCUGUAGCCACC
RNAcentral lists this long non-coding RNA (1859 nucleotides) under Sus scrofa (pig). RNAcentral's name for it is "lncRNA (ENSSSCG00060019415.1)". Lineage: Eukaryota; Metazoa; Chordata; Mammalia; Artiodactyla; Suidae. The record is from RNAcentral.